GGACUACCGGGGUAUCUAAUCCUGUUUGCUCCCCACGCUUUCGCGCCUCAGCGUCAGUCUCGGUCCAGAGCGCCGCCUUCGCCACCGGUGUUCUUCCCAAUAUCUACGAAUUUCACCUCUACACUGGGAAUUCCACGCUCCUCUCCCGAACUCUAGCCUACCAGUCCCAAGCGCCUUUCCCAGGUUGAGCCCGGGGCUUUCACGCCUGACUUGGUCCGCCGCCUGCGCGCCCUUUACGCCCAGUAAUUCCGAACAACGCUCGCCCCCUUCGUAUUACCGCGGCGGCUGGCAC
RNAcentral lists this ribosomal RNA (292 nucleotides) under uncultured bacterium. RNAcentral describes it as "partial 16S ribosomal RNA". The record is from RNAcentral.